RNAcentral lists this ribosomal RNA (1343 nucleotides) under uncultured bacterium. RNAcentral describes it as "16S ribosomal RNA". It matches the Rfam family "Bacterial small subunit ribosomal RNA", at positions 28 to 1378 of the family's 1533-position model. The record is from RNAcentral.
GACGAACGCUGGCGGCGUGCUUAACACAUGCAAGUCGAACGGAAAGGCCCUGCUUUUGUGGGGUGCUCGAGUGGCGAACGGGUGAGUAACACGUGAGUAACCUGCCCUUGACUUUGGGAUAACUUCAGGAAACUGGGGCUAAUACCGGAUAGGAGCUCCUGCUGCAUGGUGGGGGUUGGAAAGUUUCGGCGGUUGGGGAUGGACUCGCGGCUUAUCAGCUUGUUGGUGGGGUAGUGGCUUACCAAGGCUUUGACGGGUAGCCGGCCUGAGAGGGUGACCGGCCACAUUGGGACUGAGAUACGGCCCAGACUCCUACGGGAGGCAGCAGUGGGGAAUAUUGCACAAUGGGCGGAAGCCUGAUGCAGCAACGCCGCGUGCGGGGUGACGGCCUUCGGGUUGUAAACCGCUUUCGCCUGUGACGAAGCGUGAGUGACGGUAAUGGGUAAAGAAGCACCGGCUAACUACGUGCCAGCAGCCGCGGUGAUACGUAGGGUGCGAGCGUUGUCCGGAUUUAUUGGGCGUAAAGGGCUCGUAGGUGGUUGAUCGCGUCGGAAGUGUAAUCUUGGGGCUUAACCCUGAGCGUGCUUUCGAUACGGGUUGACUUGAGGAAGGUAGGGGAGAAUGGAAUUCCUGGUGGAGCGGUGGAAUGCGCAGAUAUCAGGAGGAACACCAGUGGCGAAGGCGGUUCUCUGGGCCUUUCCUGACGCUGAGGAGCGAAAGCGUGGGGAGCGAACAGGCUUAGAUACCCUGGUAGUCCACGCUGUAAACGGUGGGUACUAGGUGUGGGGUCCAUUCCACGGGUUCCGUGCCGUAGCUAACGCUUUAAGUACCCCGCCUGGGGAGUACGGCCGCAAGGCUAAAACUCAAAGGAAUUGACGGGGCCCCGCACAAGCGGCGGAGCAUGCGGAUUAAUUCGAUGCAACGCGUAGAACCUUACCUGGGUUUGACAUGGAUCGGGAGCGCUCAGAGAUGGGUGUGCCUCUUUUGGGGUCGGUUCACAGGUGGUGCAUGGCUGUCGUCAGCUCGCGUCGUGAGAUGUUGGGUUAAGUCCCGCAACGAGCGCAACCCUUGUUCACUGUUGCCAGCACGUUAUGGUGGGGACUCAGUGGAGACCGCCGGGGUCAACUCGGAGGAAGGUGGGGAUGACGUCAAGUCAUCAUGCCCCUUAUGUCCAGGGCUUCACGCAUGCUACAAUGGCUGGUACAGAGAGUGGCGAGCCUGUGAGGGUGAGCGAAUCUCGGAAAGCCGGUCUCAGUUCGGAUUGGGGUCUGCAACUCGACCUCAUGAAGUCGGAGUCGCUAGUAAUCGCAGAUCAGCAACGCUGCGGUGAAUACGUUCCCGGG